Molecule: long non-coding RNA, 355 nt
Filed under: Ictidomys tridecemlineatus (thirteen-lined ground squirrel)
Lineage: Eukaryota; Metazoa; Chordata; Mammalia; Rodentia; Sciuridae
Description: lncRNA (ENSSTOG00000034347.1)
Source: RNAcentral
UGGAGAUAUCCUACUCUCCUGGUCUCCUUCGUCUCCUGCCAUUGCGUUUUAUCGCUCCUUUAAGUGGAGGGCAGAUUAAAAAAAAAAAAUUCCUGCACGGUGUGGGUAAUCGCCGCGUUAUUUACAAUCUAGUUACUCUGCAGCAGACCGGGAAGAAAACUCUGGGGCUCCUUCCUUUCGGAUGGAUAGAGGGCGGCCGGGCGGCGAGCUGCUGGAAGGAGGCCUUUUAACCAGUUUGUGGUACAAAGAUACACGUCAGGAGGACCCUUAGGAGUCGUGGACAAGCCUCCCUGCAUGUGGCAGGUAUGUUUCUUGGGUAUGUGUCUAAGAAAUGUAACUUAAUUUCUUCUUUUAU